GACGAACGCUGGCGGCGCGCCUAACACAUGCAAGUCGAACGAGCGAGAGGAGGUUUACUUUCUCCAGCGAGUGGCGAACGGGUGAGUAACGCGUGAGGAACCUGCCUCAAAGAGGGGGACAACAGUUGGAAACGACUGCUAAUACCGCAUAAGCCCACGACCCGGCAUCGGGUAGAGGGAAAAGGAGCAAUCCGCUUUGAGAUGGCCUCGCGUCCGAUUAGCUAGUUGGUGAGGUAAUGGCCCACCAAGGCGACGAUCGGUAGCCGGACUGAGAGGUUGAACGGCCACAUUGGGACUGAGACACGGCCCAGACUCCUACGGGAGGCAGCAGUGGGGAAUAUUGCACAAUGGGGGAAACCCUGAUGCAGCGACGCCGCGUGGAGGAAGAAGGUCUUCGGAUUGUAAACUCCUGUUGUUGAGGAAGAUAAUGACGGUACUCAACAAGGAAGUGACGGCUAACUACGUG
RNAcentral lists this ribosomal RNA (466 nucleotides) under uncultured bacterium. RNAcentral's name for it is "partial 16S ribosomal RNA". It matches the Rfam family "Bacterial small subunit ribosomal RNA", at positions 28 to 507 of the family's 1533-position model. The record is from RNAcentral.